This 492-nucleotide ribosomal RNA is filed under the name uncultured bacterium. RNAcentral describes it as "partial 16S ribosomal RNA". It matches the Rfam family "Bacterial small subunit ribosomal RNA", at positions 29 to 507 of the family's 1533-position model. The record is from RNAcentral.
AGUGAACGCUGGCGGUAGGCCUAACACAUGCAAGUCGAACGGCAGCACAGUAAGAGCUUGCUCUUACGGGUGGCGAGUGGCGGACGGGUGAGGAAUACAUCGGAAUCUACUUUUUCGUGGGGGAUAACGUAGGGAAACAUACGCUAAUACCGCAUACGACCUACGGGUGAAAGCAGGGGAUCUUCGGACCUUGCGCGAUUGAAUGAGCCGAUGUCGGAUUAGCUAGUUGGCGGGGUAAAGGCCCACCAAGGCGACGAUCCGUAGCUGGUCUGAGAGGAUGAUCAGCCACACUGGAACUGAGACACGGUCCAGACUCCUACGGGAGGCAGCAGUGGGGAAUAUUGGACAAUGGGCGCAAGCCUGAUCCAGCCAUACCGCGUGGGUGAAGAAGGCCUUCGGGUUGUAAAGCCCUUUUGUUGGGAAAGAAAAGCAGUAGGUUAAUACCCCGCUGUUCUGACGGUACCCAAAGAAUAAGCACCGGCUAACUUCGUG